GCCCCCGUUGUCUAAUGGUUAUGACGUCAGACUUCUACGUUCCAGCGUAAACAAUUAAUCUGGAGGUUGCGGGUUCGAGUCCCGCCGGGGGUU
Non-coding RNA from Mycena vulgaris, 93 nucleotides. NCBI's taxonomy places the organism in Eukaryota, Fungi, Basidiomycota, Agaricomycetes, Agaricales, Mycenaceae. The record is from the annotation of a GenBank genome assembly.